Molecule: ribosomal RNA, 409 nt
Filed under: uncultured Methylomirabilota bacterium
Lineage: Bacteria; Methylomirabilota (SeqCode)
Description: bacterial SSU rRNA
Rfam family: Bacterial small subunit ribosomal RNA
Source: RNAcentral
GCGUGGAGACAGGUGGUGCAUGGCUGUCGUCAGCUCGUGUCGUGAGAUGUUGGGUUAAGUCCCGCAACGAGCGCAACCCUCACCCCUGGUUGCCACCGGGUAAAGCCGAGCACUCGAGGGGAACUGCCAGCGUCAAGCUGGAGGAAGGCGGGGAUGACGUCAAGUCAUCAUGCCCCUUACGCCCUGGGCUACACACGUGCUACAAUGGCCGGUACAAAGGGACGCGAGACCGCGAGGUGGAGCUAAUCCCAAAAAACCGGUCUAAGUUCAGAUUGCAGUCUGCAACUCGACUGCAUGAAGGAGGAAUCGCUAGUAAUCGCGCAUCAGCACGGCGCGGUGAAUACGUUCCCGGGCCUUGUACACACCGCCCGUCACACCACGAAAGCUGUCUGUACUCGAAGUCGCUGAG